UACGUAGGGUGCAAGCGUUAUCCGGAUUUACUGGGUUUAAAGGGUGCGUAGGUGGGUAAGUAAGUCAGUGGUGAAAUCUUCGAGCUUAACUCGGAAACUGCCAUUGAUACUAUUUAUCUUGAAUACUUUGGAGGUAAGCGGAAUAUGUCAUGUAGCGGUGAAAUGCUUAGAUAUGACAUAGAACACCAAUUGCGAAGGCAGCUUACUACACAGUUAUUGACACUGAGGCACGAAAGCGUGGGGAUCAAACAGG
Molecule: ribosomal RNA, 253 nt
Filed under: uncultured bacterium
Lineage: Bacteria
Description: partial 16S ribosomal RNA
Rfam family: Bacterial small subunit ribosomal RNA
Source: RNAcentral